This 201-nucleotide long non-coding RNA is filed under the name Mytilus galloprovincialis (Mediterranean mussel). Lineage: Eukaryota; Metazoa; Mollusca; Bivalvia; Mytilida; Mytilidae. The record is from RNAcentral.
UGUGCGCCUUUUCCUAAAUUCCUUUUUUUUUGUUCUCCAGAUCCCACCUUUGUUGUCCCCUUGAUUUCACAACCCCAAUUUUUAUAAUCCUUUAUCCAACACCCACUUUUUGUAACCUCAACAUCACCCCUCUAUAUAUUCCACUUCGAGGGCUACUUGCAAGAUUCAUUUUGAUCAAGAUGGAUUUUAUGCCCAAAACUA